GGAUAUGAGGGUGAUCUGGCUCCCAUGCCUGUCACCCCACUGAUCACCAGGGUUGAUUUGGCUGGUCUGCUGGCUGGCCCAGUAUCCCCUUCCCUGCCAGUGCUCCAUGUGCAUCCCUCCUGAAGCUGUGUGUUUGGUGGAAGAGAAUGACCGUCCGAGUAGUUGCACUCCCCUGCUAGUCUCCAGACAGGCUCUCACGGUCCAUUCGUAGGUGAAUAUAGUGUUGUCAAGCUUCCAGGUCUCCAGACACAUCCAAACGAGGUGCUGCAUGUGGCAGUCUGCCUUUCUAA
This 290-nucleotide small nuclear RNA is filed under the name Callithrix jacchus (white-tufted-ear marmoset). RNAcentral describes it as "7SK RNA". It matches the Rfam family "7SK RNA". Rfam says of the family: 7SK was discovered as an abundant small nuclear RNA in the mid-70s but a possible function has only recently been suggested. Two independent studies have found that 7SK RNA binds the CDK9/cyclin T complex (known as elongation factor P-TEFb). P-TEFb activates transcription by phosphorylating the C-terminal domain of RNA polymerase II. Lineage: Eukaryota; Metazoa; Chordata; Mammalia; Primates; Cebidae. The record is from Rfam by way of RNAcentral.